RNAcentral lists this non-coding RNA (101 nucleotides) under Bacillus sp. (in: firmicutes). RNAcentral describes it as "Bacillus sp. Glycine sequence". It matches the Rfam family "Glycine riboswitch aptamer". From Rfam's summary of the family: This family represents the bacterial glycine riboswitch. Glycine riboswitches usually consist of two metabolite-binding aptamers domains with similar structures in tandem. The record is from RNAcentral. Lineage: Bacteria; Bacillati; Bacillota; Bacilli; Caryophanales; Bacillaceae.
AUGACGGCUGCGGGAGAGAGCAUUUAGUAGCCACCGAAGGAGCAAGCUUCAAAAAUACCCUUGAAGCCAAUCUCUCAGGUAGACAGAACCGCAGUCGGACG